GCCCGCAUAGUAUAUUGUACAGCAGCUUUUCAGGCUGAAGGACCGCUAAAGUGCGGUGAGGGUA
RNAcentral lists this transfer RNA (64 nucleotides) under Euciroa cf. queenslandica STW-2017. RNAcentral describes it as "tRNA-Glu". Lineage: Eukaryota; Metazoa; Mollusca; Bivalvia; Euciroidae. The record is from RNAcentral.